AUUGAACGCUGGCGGCAUGCCUUACACAUGCAAGUCGAACGGCAGCACGGGAGCAAUCCUGGUGGCGAGUGGCGAACGGGUGAGUAAUAUAUCGGAACGUGCCCGGUCGUGGGGGAUAACGUAGCGAAAGCUACGCUAAUACCGCAUACGAUCUACGGAUGAAAGCGGGGGAUCGCAAGACCUCGCGCGAUUGGAGCGGCCGAUAUCGGAUUAGGUAGUUGGUGAGGUAAAGGCUCACCAAGCCGACGAUCUGUAGCUGGUCUGAGAGGACGACCAGCCACACUGGGACUGAGACACGGCCCAGACUCCUACGGGAGGCAGCAGUGGGGGAAUUUUUGGACAAUGGGCGCAAGCCUGAUCCAGCAAUGCCGCGUGCAGGAUGAAGGCCUUCGGGUUGUAAACGUAGACUUUUU
This 413-nucleotide ribosomal RNA is filed under the name uncultured bacterium. RNAcentral's name for it is "bacterial SSU rRNA". It matches the Rfam family "Bacterial small subunit ribosomal RNA", at positions 30 to 442 of the family's 1533-position model. The record is from RNAcentral.